AGACAUUAUCCUUCGAAUAAAGACUUUGAAUCGUUUUCAAAGGGAGGAUGCUACUUUUAGUGUCGGUUUCGAUGCUGAAAGUAGACGGGUUCUAUCCGUAAAAUUGGUUUUUCUAUGUCUCAAUUGAUUUUCUUGAAUUGCUGGCUGUCCUUUUUUUGUUUCCAUGUUUCGGGCUUAAUAUUUGAUAUUUUUCCUUGAUUGGGUUUUUAAUGUUCCUUAAAUUGCUACCUUUUCGAAGCCUUUGGCUGAGAGCAUUUGAUGGGUUCAUCUUUUAUGGGUUUAUGAUUCAAACUGAAGAUAUAUGGUUUGAUCGGAUGAGAACAAUCCAUGAGUGAUUCGGCCCGAAAUUCUUGAAGCUAUACUUCAUUCGAUUUGGGUUUCCACAUAUUUUAGCUCGAACCAACUUCAUCCCAUUUAUCAGUUGGGUUUUCAAAGUCCAGCUUCCACCAUGAUUAACAUUGCUAACUUUACAAUUGUGGCCACAGCCAACAUGUUCACUAUAGAAAUAAAGAAUAAACAACUAUUCGUAGGCGGGCUGGUUGUUCCAGAGAAAAAAGUUUCAGAGGUUUGGCAUCUACACAAGAAAAGGAUAUCACCUGUAGCACACAAGGUGCUGGAAAUAAGCCAUUGCAGUGACAACAUCAAAUGUCCAUUUGUUGAGAAUGUUUCAAGUUGGGCGAGAUGCAACUCAUCACAACAUGGGUGGCUCUGUAAGGAGGGAACCUGCUCUUGCACCCAAAAGAGUUGCAAAGGCCAUGACGUUGACAUUAUGCACUUUUCGAUUGGAAAUGCUGUAGGAGGACGCAUCUAUGGUUGCAAUCCAAUAGACAACAAAGAAUAAAAUGGAGAUGACAGGUUUGGUCAUUUGGUUGAUCUUUAUGCCUGGGAACCCACACUGCAGAUACUUGGAUGGAGUUUGUCCUUCAGGUAAAUACUAAAAUUUACCAUUCAUUUGCUCUUUCUUUAUAGGAUAUGAAAGGCAUGUGAUGAGGGGACUUUCUUUAAAGGUAGAAAAUAAGGUGGCACAGGGCAUUAGAAAAAGUGACUACAAGGACUGCUAAAGCAUUAAAUCGAAAGAGCUUCAAAUUUUUUACAGCAUGGUCAAAGCAUUAAAGCAUGAAAUUGUUCAUUUCAUCUUUCGUGGACACCGACAUCACCUGACAUUUGUAUUCUACCCAUUAUGGUAAACUACAAUAAGUUUCUUUAAUACCUGUAAUCACCAUUAGGCAUAACUUUAGUAUUUCCAGUAUUUACAAAUUCUGAAAUACAUCGUCUGCCUUACCAUUAUUUCCUCCGAGCUUCGCUGUUUAUUGAUGAUGUAUUUAUAUACUCUUUUGACUGAAAUGACUACUUGGUAUCCCCAAAUUAAUGGAUUGAUAAACCAUAUUGCUUUUACAUAACCAAUGGCAAUAAUUUUGAUGCAAGCUCUAAUUAAUCAGUGAGACAAGAGGGAUUCGUAGUUCAUAUAGUUGAGAAUAAGGUUUGAAGUGUAGUACAAAUAACAUUGCUCUCAAGACACACUCAAACACACAGCCACAUUUAAACAUUGGUAGUUACGAACAGGUACUAGAGGAAUACGUACUAGAGCACUAUUAUUUGGGAUGUUAGUUUAUGAAAGAGUCCCUCUUCUUAAACUUGAAGGCUAUCCUAAUACAUUUCUUUCCAAAAUGUUUUAUUUACACUUUAUUGGCAAAGUUCAAUGUAUGCUCAUGUCUUUGAAAGUUAGUGAAUCUUUAUGCUAAAAAAUUCCUUGACAAAUGAGAGAGAAAAUGAAGUAGCUCUAAAAUUUAAUUGUGGAUGUCAAAGAUUUGUUUUUGCUAACGUUUCUUUAAUAUGCAUGAGUCCAAACUCUUGAACAACACAUAUUUCAAGAUUACCUUAUUUAAUUGAGAUACUUGCUUUGCUUUUCUCAGUUAUUGGGGUUGUUUAAGAUCGUUCACCGGGUUGCAUUCAGAACUGUGACUGAUUGGUUCUCUCUGAUUUUUUCCUUAUGUGUUUACU
This is an RNA transcript of Tripterygium wilfordii, 2001 nucleotides long. RefSeq lists it as uncharacterized. The transcript is spliced from 6 exons. The record is from RefSeq and is a predicted model, not a curated record. Lineage: Eukaryota; Viridiplantae; Streptophyta; Magnoliopsida; Celastrales; Celastraceae.